CCUCCCCUGCCCGUGCCUCCUCCUCCCCCAUCGCUCCCCCUUCCCCGGGCCCGCUCCUCGCCGGCCGUAGCUUCCGAGCGCGGCCACCAGGGGGCGCCCGGGCCGAGGCCCCUCUCGGCCAACUUCUGUGGUGUCUUCCGUGGACAAGGCUGGGCGCCGAAUUCGGGGACACGGACUGACAUCGCCUAAAGCAUCUGAUGCGCAGAUCCUGGCGGGAGUUAACAGCGAAAGAGGCAGGAGUGGGCAGGCACUCCCAGACUGGCUGGGAAGGCAGAACUCAAAGGAAAUCCAGGGAAGCUGGUACCCGGAGCAACUCCGUCUCGGCCAAGCGCACGUCUGGCGACCGUGGCAGAACAGGCCAGAGUGCCCGGAUGGUGGGAGAGAUCAGUGUGUCUCCACGUUCCCCACACACAGAGCUCUGAGAACUGCAGCUGCAACCAAAGAGAAGUCCUUUAAAGAGCCCCUGGUCCCUGAGGCUCCAAAGCUCCCACUGCACUGGGGUCGAUCCCUCCUGUGAAUACGGGCUGUGGAGAUGGAGGAAGUGGUGCCUGGUCCCGGGUCCACAGACCCAGGGCGUGGUGCGGAGGACACGCUCAGGAGGGAAGUCUUGUGGCGCCCUGCUCCUGGCUAGAGCCCUCUCUCCCUUGAGGCACCAGGCUGCUUGCAUUAGCUGCGGGAAGAGGAAGAAAGCCAGGUGGGGAAGGCAGAAGAGCGCGAUUUGGUCUGUUUUCCUCUCUACCUACAGCACCACUUUCCAGCUUUCUGGGAGCUGUGGUCGGCAAGGGCCACCAAACGGUGUCCCCUCACGAUUGGCGCUGCCCCUCUCAUUGGCCAGUGUGCUCCAGAUCUCAACUGCUCCCCGAAAGUGGCAUCAUUACUAUUGCCCCAUUUCAAGUGACAGUCACAGCCCAACGCACCACAGGCUAUAAUGGGAUUUACCCCUGACGGUGUUCCAAGCAGAGAGGAAAAACAACAUCCCCCCGCCCCCCACACACACAGAGCAACAGCACAGCUCUAUGAUUGGCGUGAAUUAUCAGAGAUCACGGGGUGCAGCCUCUUAACCCUUCAGAUGGGUGGCAG
Molecule: long non-coding RNA, 1080 nt
Filed under: Ursus maritimus (polar bear)
Lineage: Eukaryota; Metazoa; Chordata; Mammalia; Carnivora; Ursidae
Description: lncRNA (ENSUMAG00000023293.1)
Source: RNAcentral